Molecule: long non-coding RNA, 1168 nt
Filed under: Homo sapiens (human)
Lineage: Eukaryota; Metazoa; Chordata; Mammalia; Primates; Hominidae
Description: HSALNT0332397
Source: RNAcentral
UCCUGCCUCAGCCUCCUGAAUAUCUGGGAUUACAGGCCAAAGAUUAUUAAUGCAUGAUGUGUAACAAUUUCAGGCAAAGCCUAGGAAGAGAGAGAAUGCCGAAAGACUUCUAAUGUAUGGAGUUUAAACAUCAGAUGGUGAUUGAUUGCUAUUAAUUUAUGUCAGCAAAGGAGGAGAAGAAAUACGUAAAACUGCCUCUGAAGAAUUUACAUUAAACACCAAAAGAAUCUGACUCUGAAAAUGAAGAAACAAGGAAUAUUGUUUGUUUUGGGAAUCAAAAAAAAAAAAAACUUCCCAUUUGAGUACACAAUUUCCUAAACAAGAUACAUGAUAAUUCCAUACACUAUGCUUUCCGAAGAAACUUUGUAAAACGUAUUUUCAUUAUUCAAAACUUGAAAACACAGAAACAAUAUGAUGCAAAAAAUUAUCUUUAGCAUUAUUCCACUAAGAUAAUUCAUUUUAACAUCCAUAUAUUCAUUAUUAUGUAAAAUACCUAUCAGUAUGUGGGUAUAUCUUUGUGUGUAUAUUUUAACAAAACAAAAUUCAAUAAAAAUUGAAAUACAGAAAUGACAAAAACACACAAAAAAUAUAAAUUAUUUCCAUUGUAGCAUAUAUUACCUUUUUCACCUAACAUUAUACUGUAGGAAUAUAUUCUUUCAUCAUUCAAUGCUUUUGAAAAUAUAAUAAUAUUCCAUUUUAAGGACAUGCUAUAAUUUAGUUCAUUAGUUUUUAAACUUUUAGAUUAUCUCAUUUUGUCAUCAUUUAAAAAAAGUGUUCCUGGAUGUCCUUUUGCAUAGACUUUUGAAUGUAUUUCUGACUAUUUUCUUAACCUGUCCUGUACUUCUGCAAGUAGAACUGCUUGAGCAGAGAUUAGGAGCAAUUUUAAGGUUUUUCAAAAAUCUUGACAAACUAUUCUGCAGGAAAAAUGUAUCUUGUUACCAUCAGCAUUUUUAAGUAACUAGUGACUAAUUGUAAAAAUAAUUGUGUUUCCUUGUAUUUAAGCCUUGCGCUAUAGAUUUUAAAAAUUUGUCCUUUUUUUUUUUUCAUUUGUAAAAAAAAGCCAUCUAAAAGACCUUAGAACCUGGUAUCAGCUGAAGCUUACUAAACCAUAUCAAGAAGAUCAUGUCAUUCUCAAGAAAAGCAUGUUUCAAAUAAAAAGGAAAUGUCA